RNAcentral lists this ribosomal RNA (198 nucleotides) under uncultured bacterium. Its description in RNAcentral is "partial 16S ribosomal RNA". It matches the Rfam family "Bacterial small subunit ribosomal RNA", at positions 328 to 539 of the family's 1533-position model. The record is from RNAcentral.
ACGCUCGACACCUACGGGAGGCAGCAGUGGGGAAUAUUGCACAAUGGGGGAAACCCUGAUGCAGCGACGCCGCGUGAGCGAAGAAGUAUUUCGGUAUGUAAAGCUCUAUCAGCAGGGAANAAACUGACGGUACCUGACUAAGAAGCACCGGCUAAAUACGUGCCAACAGCCGCGGUAAUCUGAGCGGGCUGGCAAGGC